This is a long non-coding RNA of Acanthaster planci (crown-of-thorns starfish), 400 nucleotides long. The record is from RefSeq and is a predicted model, not a curated record. Lineage: Eukaryota; Metazoa; Echinodermata; Asteroidea; Valvatida; Acanthasteridae.
CAAAAGAUGCAGGCUCAUAAAUGACACCGUGAGAAAGCAACGGACACAUCACAAGGAAAUUUCAAUGGACUUUCCUCAAUAUUGAUACAUAGUCAUCACACAUAACUGACAGAAAGGACAUACAUGCAGGAAGGCAUUCAUGUCGGCUAACGUCAGAGCCUGAACCUUGACCUGAUCAACAAUCACAAUUCACAGUACCCGCUGUUACAUCUGACUCGGACUGGCUAGCUGACCCCAGCAAGCUCGGAGAUUGCGUCAUUAAGAUGUCUGCACUAGUAAGCAAGAGGUCAUGGGUUCGAGUCCCAACCAAGUUCACAUCCCACUCAAACAAAUGCUGCCAUGCAGUGUCAAUUCUGACCUACCUUGGCCUCCGACGAUACAACUUGAACAACUGAUCAAC